This 258-nucleotide ribosomal RNA is filed under the name uncultured bacterium. Its description in RNAcentral is "partial 16S ribosomal RNA". It matches the Rfam family "Bacterial small subunit ribosomal RNA", at positions 32 to 268 of the family's 1533-position model. The record is from RNAcentral.
AAUCAACGCUGGCGGCGUGCCUCAGACAUGCAAGUCGAACGCUGCUGUUCGCCUUCGGGUGGACAGCGGAGUGGCGCACGGGUGAGUAACACGUAGGUAAUCUACCUUUGGGUGGGGAAUAACAGCCGGAAACGGCUGCUAAUACCGCAUAAUGCAGCGGCAUCACAUGAUGACAGUUGUUAAAGCGAGGGAUCGUAAGACCUCGCGCCUGAAGAGGAGCCUGCGGCAGAUUAGGUAGUUGGUGAGGUAAUGGCUCAC